AAAGAAAGGAGAGGAAGAAAGAAAGACAAAAAGAAAGGAGAAAGAAAAUGGAUGAUGGAUGGAUUGCUCAAAGAGAGAAAUAGUGGUGAAAGAAAGGAGAGAGGAGAAAGACAAAAGGAAGGAAGGCAGAAAGAAAGUGGAUGAUGGACGGAUGAAUGGAUUGCUUAAGAGAAAGAAAUAUUGAUGGGGGGGGGAGGAGCAGUAAGGAAGAGCUAUAGAUGAAGAAGGACGAGAGGGUGGUAAAAGAGACAAAGAAAGAAAGUGAAGUAAGGAUGG
Long non-coding RNA from Ictalurus punctatus (channel catfish), 276 nucleotides. The record is from Ensembl. Lineage: Eukaryota; Metazoa; Chordata; Actinopteri; Siluriformes; Ictaluridae.